CCUACGGGGGGCAGCAGUGAGGAAUAUUGGUCAAUGGGCGAGAGCCUGAACCAGCCAAGUCGCGUGAGGGAGUACUGCCCUAUGGGUUGUAAACCUCUUUUGUCGGGGAGCAAAAGCCGGACGUGUCCGGCUGUGAGAGUACCCGAAGAAAAAGCAUCGGCUAACUCCGUGCCAGCAGCCGCGGUAAUACGGAGGAUGAGAGCGUUAUCCGGAUUUAUUGGGUUUAAGGGGUGCGCAGGCGGAUUUUUAAGUCAGCGGUAAAAUCGUGGGGCUCAACCCCAUCCAGCCGUUGAAACUGGGGAUCUAGAGUGUGCGAGAGGUAUGCGGAAUGCGUGGUGUAGCGGUGAAAUGCAGAGAUAUCACGCAGAACCCCGAUUGCGAAGGCAGCAUACCGGUGCACAACUGACGCUCAGGCACGAAAGCGUGGGUAUCGAACAGGAUUAGAUACCCGAGUAGUC
This 458-nucleotide ribosomal RNA is filed under the name uncultured bacterium. RNAcentral describes it as "partial 16S ribosomal RNA". It matches the Rfam family "Bacterial small subunit ribosomal RNA", at positions 338 to 795 of the family's 1533-position model. The record is from RNAcentral.